GACGAACGCUGGCGGCGUGCUUAACACAUGCAAGUCACGGGGGCCCGCAAGGGUAACCGGCGAACGGGUGCGUAACACGUGAGCAACCUGCCAUUCACUGGGGGAUAGCCGGCCCAACGGCCGGGUAAUACCGCAUACGUUCUUCGGGCGGCAUCGUCUGAAGAGGAAACCUCCGGGGGUGAAUGAGGGGCUCGCGGCCUAUCAGCUAGUUGGUGGGGUAACGGCCUACCAAGGCGAUGACGGGUAGCUGGUCUGAGAGGAUGGCCAGCCACAUUGGGACUGAGAUACGGCCCAGACUCCUACGGGAGGCAGCAGUGGGGAAUAUUGCGCAAUGGCCGAAAGGCUGACGCAGCGACGCCGCGUGGGGGAUGAAGCAUUUCGGUGUGUAAACCCCUGUUGCUCGGGACGAACAGCUCUUUUCGAGGAGCCUGACGGUACCGGGUGAGGAAGCACCGGCUAACUCCGUGCCAGCAGCCGCCGUAA
Molecule: ribosomal RNA, 483 nt
Filed under: uncultured bacterium
Lineage: Bacteria
Description: partial 16S ribosomal RNA
Rfam family: Bacterial small subunit ribosomal RNA
Source: RNAcentral